AAGGUGGCUUUCGGGCUGUCGCAGAUGGAUGAGCCUGCGUUGGAUUAGCUAGUUGGUGGGGUAAGGGCCCACCAAGGCUACGAUCCAUAGCUGAUUUGAGAGGAUGAUCAGCCACAUUGGGACUGAGACACGGCCCAAACUCCUACGGGAGGCAGCAGUGGGGAAUAUUGGACAAUGGGGGCAACCCUGAUCCAGCAAUGCCAUGUGUGUGAAGAAGGCCCUAGGGUUGUAAAGCACUUUAGUUGGGGAGGAAAGCCUCAAGGUUAAUAGCCUUGGGGGAGGACGUUACCCAAAGAAUAAGCACCGGCUAACUCCGUGCCAGCAGCCGCGGUAAUACGGGGGGUGCAAGCGUUAAUCGGAAUUACUGGGCGUAAAGGGUCUGUAGGUGGUUUGUUAAGUCAGAUGUGAAAGCCCAGGGCUCAACCUUGGAACUGCAUUUGAUACUGGCAAACUAGAGUACGGUAGAGGAAUGGGGAAUUUCUGGUGUAGCGGUGAAAUGCGUAGAGAUCAGAAGGAACACCAAUGGCGAAGGCAACAUUCUGGACCGAUACUGACACUGAGGGACGAAAGCGUGGGGAUCAAACAGGAUUAGAUACCCUGGUAGUCCACGCUGUAAACGAUGAGUACUAGCUGUUGGAGUCGGUGUAAAGGCUCUAGUGGCGCAGCUAACGCGAUAAGUACUCCGCCUGGGGACUACGGCCGCAAGGCUAAAACUCAAAGGAAUUGACGGGGACCCGCACAAGCGGUGGAGCAUGUGGUUUAAUUCGAUGCAACGCGAAGAACCUUACCUGGUCUUGACAUCCUGCGAACUUUCUAGAGAUAGAUUGGUGCCUUCGGGAACGCAGUGACAGGUGCUGCACGGCUGUCGUCAGCUCGUGUUGUGAAAUG
Molecule: ribosomal RNA, 888 nt
Filed under: uncultured bacterium
Lineage: Bacteria
Description: bacterial SSU rRNA
Rfam family: Bacterial small subunit ribosomal RNA
Source: RNAcentral